RNAcentral lists this transfer RNA (77 nucleotides) under Pythium insidiosum. RNAcentral describes it as "tRNA-Arg". The stretch from base 6 to 69 matches the Rfam family "tRNA", at positions 6 to 65 of the family's 71-position model. Rfam says of the family: Transfer RNA (tRNA) molecules are approximately 80 nucleotides in length. Their secondary structure includes four short double-helical elements and three loops (D, anti-codon, and T loops). Lineage: Eukaryota; Oomycota; Peronosporomycetes; Pythiales; Pythiaceae. The record is from RNAcentral.
GACCGCGUGGCGCAAUGGAUAGCGCAUCUGACUUCUAAUCAAGGGGGUUGGUGGGUUCGAGUCCCAUCGGCGGGUCG